GAGAUGGAUUGGUGCCUUCGGGAACUGUGAGACAGGUGCUGCAUGGCUGUCGUCAGCUCGUGUUGUGAAAUGUUGGGUUAAGUCCCGCAACGAGCGCAACCCUUAUCCUUUGUUGCCAGCGGUCCGGACGGGAACUCAAAGGAGACUGCCAGUGAUAAACUGGAGGAAGGUGGGGAUGACGUCAAGUCAUCAUGGCCCUUACGACCAGGGCUACACACGUGCUACAAUGGCAUAUACAAAGAGAAGCGACCUCGC
RNAcentral lists this ribosomal RNA (255 nucleotides) under Klebsiella pneumoniae. Its description in RNAcentral is "partial 16S ribosomal RNA". It matches the Rfam family "Bacterial small subunit ribosomal RNA", at positions 1003 to 1258 of the family's 1533-position model. Lineage: Bacteria; Pseudomonadati; Pseudomonadota; Gammaproteobacteria; Enterobacterales; Enterobacteriaceae. The record is from RNAcentral.